Molecule: ribosomal RNA, 245 nt
Filed under: uncultured bacterium
Lineage: Bacteria
Description: partial 16S ribosomal RNA
Rfam family: Bacterial small subunit ribosomal RNA
Source: RNAcentral
UACGUAGGGGGCAAGCGUUGUCCGGAUUUACUGGGUGUAAAGGGCGCGCAGGCGGGCUUGUAAGUCGGUGGUGAAAGCCUGUGGCUUAACUACAGAACUGCCAUUGAUACUACAAGUCUUGAGUGCGGAAGAGAGAGACGGAAUUCCAGGUGUAGUGGUGAAAUACGUAGAUAUCUGGAAGAACACCAGUUGCGAAGGCGGUCUCUUGGUCCGUUACUGACGCUCAGGCGCGAAAGCGUGGGUAG